GACGAACGCUGGCGGCGUGCUUAACACAUGCAAGUCGAACGGAAAGGCCCUGCUUUUGUGGGGUGCUCGAGUGGCGAACGGGUGAGUAACACGUGAGUAACCUGCCCUUGACUUUGGGAUAACUUCAGGAAACUGGGGCUAAUACCGGAUAGGAGCUCCUGCUGCAUGGUGGGGGUUGGAAAGUUUCGGCGGUUGGGGAUGGACUCGCGGCUUAUCAGCUUGUUGGUGGGGUAGUGGCUUACCAAGGCUUUGACGGGUAGCCGGCCUGAGAGGGUGACCGGCCACAUUGGGACUGAGAUACGGCCCAGACUCCUACGGGAGGCAGCGGUGGGGAAUAUUGCACAAUGGGCGGAAGCCUGAUGCAGCAACGCCGCGUGCGGGAGGACGGCCUUCGGGUUGUAAACCGCUUUCGCCUGUGACGAAGCGUGAGUGACGGUAAUGGGUAAAGAAGCACCGGCUAACUACGU
Molecule: ribosomal RNA, 467 nt
Filed under: uncultured bacterium
Lineage: Bacteria
Description: partial 16S ribosomal RNA
Rfam family: Bacterial small subunit ribosomal RNA
Source: RNAcentral